GCCUGAUCCACCAUGCCGCGUGUGUGAAGAAGGCCUUUUGGUUGUAAAGCACUUUAAGCGAGGAGGAGGCUACUUGGAUUAAUACUCUAGGAUAGUGGACGUUACUCGCAGAAUAAGCACCGGCUAACUCUGUGCCAGCAGCCGCGGUAAUACAGAGGGUGCGAGCGUUAAUCGGAUUUACUGGGCGUAAAGCGUGCGUAGGCGGCUUUUUAAGUCGGAUGUGAAAUCCCUGUAGCUUAACUUAGGAAUUGCAUUCGAUACUGGGAAGCUAGAGUAUGGGAGAGGAUGGUAGAAUUCCAGGUGUAGCGGUGAAAUGCGUAGAGAUCUGGAGGAAUACCGAUGGCGAAGGCAGCCAUCUGGCCUAAUACUGACGCUGAGGUACGAAAGCAUGGGGAGCAAACAGGAUUAGAUACCCUGGUAGUCCAUGCCGUAAACGAUGUCUACUAGCCGUUGGGGCCUUUGAGGCUUUA
This 470-nucleotide ribosomal RNA is filed under the name Acinetobacter sp. 18III/A01/074. RNAcentral's name for it is "bacterial SSU rRNA". It matches the Rfam family "Bacterial small subunit ribosomal RNA", at positions 381 to 842 of the family's 1533-position model. Lineage: Bacteria; Pseudomonadati; Pseudomonadota; Gammaproteobacteria; Moraxellales; Moraxellaceae. The record is from RNAcentral.